AACUGUCUCCAGGUGAUCAAUGAAAAGAGUCCAGAAUUAGUCAACAGAAAACACAUAAUCUUCCAUCAGGAUAACACAAGACUACAUGUUUCCUUGAUGACGGAGCAAAAACUGUUACAGCUUGGUGAGGAAGUUCUGAUUCAUCCGCCAUAUUCGCUAG
Long non-coding RNA from Aethalodelphis obliquidens (Pacific white-sided dolphin), 160 nucleotides. RefSeq lists it as uncharacterized. NCBI's taxonomy places the organism in Eukaryota, Metazoa, Chordata, Mammalia, Artiodactyla, Delphinidae. The transcript is spliced from 3 exons. The record is from RefSeq and is a predicted model, not a curated record.